AGUGACCGACCCGACCGCCUGCCCAUUGCCGGGACAUGGCACCAGCGGUAAGAAAACCUUAUUGCUUCUUCU
RNAcentral lists this non-coding RNA (72 nucleotides) under Pseudomonas putida. RNAcentral describes it as "Pseudomonas sRNA P10". The stretch from base 1 to 48 matches the Rfam family "Pseudomonas sRNA P10". Lineage: Bacteria; Pseudomonadati; Pseudomonadota; Gammaproteobacteria; Pseudomonadales; Pseudomonadaceae. RNAcentral also lists the same sequence under 3 other names. The record is from RNAcentral.